RNAcentral lists this ribosomal RNA (476 nucleotides) under uncultured bacterium. Its description in RNAcentral is "partial 16S ribosomal RNA". The stretch from base 20 to 304 matches the Rfam family "Bacterial small subunit ribosomal RNA", at positions 47 to 358 of the family's 1533-position model. The record is from RNAcentral.
AGCGAACGCUGGCGGCAGGCUUAACACAUGCAAGUCGAGCGGGCACUUUCGGGUGUCAGCGGCGGACGGGUGAGUAACGCGUGGGAACGUGCCCUCUGGUUCGGAAUAACUCAGGGAAACUUGAGCUAAUACCGGAUACGCCCUUUUGGGGAAAGGCUUGCUGCCGGAGGAUCGGCCCGCGUCUGAUUAGCUAGUUGGUGAGGUAACGGCUCACCAAGGCGACGAUCAGUAGCUGGUCUGAGAGGAUGAUCAGCCACACUGGGACUGAGACACGGCCCAGACGACGGGGGGGGGCAGGGGUGAGAAAGAGGGAAGAGUGGGAGAAGGCGUCGCAGAGCCGUGCGUGGGGGUUGAGCAAUGCGUGAGGGUUGUAGUGCUGUUGUAGGCGCGGAAAGAACGGCGGUGCGGGGGGGAGAAGCCUAGGCUAACGUGGGGCGGGCGGCGGCGGUGCGAGGCGGAGGAGAAAGCGUGUGAGC